CUUUAUGGUGGCUGUGCGCAGGGCGCCCUCGGGCGCGCCGGGUUCCUGUUCUGACCGGUCGACUAACCUGCGUACAGCCGCCACCUUC
Pseudomonas fluorescens is the source of this 88-nucleotide non-coding RNA. The record is from Rfam. NCBI's taxonomy places the organism in Bacteria, Pseudomonadati, Pseudomonadota, Gammaproteobacteria, Pseudomonadales, Pseudomonadaceae.